AACCCAGCAGUUUUAAUCAACUGUUACCACUAGAUGAAUUCAUAGUUUAUAUUGGAGGUAAACGCUGUGAACUGAAACAUCUCAUUAGCAGCAGGAAUAUAAAGAAAUUUCGAUUCCCUAAGUAGCGGCGAGCGAACGGGGAACAGCCCAAACCAAAGUGCUUGCACUUUGGGGUUGUAGGACUGAACAUUUGAGUUACCAAAAGAACUUGAUAGUCGAAAGGGAUUUGGGAAAAUCCGCCAUAGAUGGUGAUAGCCC
RNAcentral lists this ribosomal RNA (258 nucleotides) under Lactiplantibacillus plantarum. RNAcentral describes it as "partial 23S ribosomal RNA". It matches the Rfam family "Bacterial large subunit ribosomal RNA", at positions 125 to 373 of the family's 2925-position model. The record is from RNAcentral. Lineage: Bacteria; Bacillati; Bacillota; Bacilli; Lactobacillales; Lactobacillaceae. RNAcentral also lists the same sequence under 1 other name.